Molecule: ribosomal RNA, 269 nt
Filed under: uncultured Glomus
Lineage: Eukaryota; Fungi; Glomeromycota; Glomeromycetes; Glomerales; Glomeraceae
Description: partial 18S ribosomal RNA
Rfam family: Eukaryotic small subunit ribosomal RNA
Source: RNAcentral
UUGGAGGGCAAGUCUGGUGCCAGCAGCCGCGGUAAUUCCAGCUCCAAUAGCGUAUAUUAAAGUUGUUGCAGUUAAAAAGCUCGUAGUUGAAUUUCGGGGUUAGUAGGUUGGUCAUGCCUCUGGUAUGUACUGGUCUCACUGAUUCCUCCUUCCUUAUGAACCGUAAUGCCAUUAAUUUGGUGUUGCGGGGAAUUUGGACUGUUACUUUGAAAAGAUUAGAGUGUUCAAAGCAAGCUAACGCUUGAAUACAUUAGCAUGGAAUAAUGAAA